UUUCUAAGGCGACCUUGAACUUGAGAUCCUCCUGGUGGCUUCCCCACCAAAUGGUAUUAUAGGUGUGUGCCACUGCGCCCUCCUGAGAUUUGCUUUUUGUGUGAUCCUGGACGGAGUCUAAAAGACCUUGCUGCUCUCACCACCAGGGUGAUGUACCCUCCCAAGCAAAAGUUCCUGGUGACUGUGACACAGUGCUUGUGAUAUCCCCGAGGAUUUAGGAGCCCUGGGUUUCCUCACCAGCACUUGGAAAAAAAAAAAAAAAAAAAACUGAACUGAAACAUUCUAGAAUGUUCUGUCCCAUUUUGGAAUGACUUUUAUUAGAAGCAAGAAAGAAAUGGAAGAUUCUCAAGUCUCUUGAGCUCCAAAAGCCGCAGUGCAGAAUCCUGACUCACCCUCCAGCCAGCCGCAGACAAGGCGGAUUAUUCCGGGGAGGUGUGUGCAGAGCCAGAGCCCGUGUGGCUUCAGGUAACCGGCUUUUCUUGCGCCUUCUCAUCUGCUCAGCUGGGGCUGCUGACCUCCCUGGACGGAAGCGGAAGCCAGGCUCUGCGGUCCUGGCCACCAAGCUGCGGAUUGUUCGCGCGGGCACGGCCCUGCCGUCCUACGCCGCCGGGCGGAGGGUCCCUCUGAUCCGCCCUGAGAGCCCGCCGGGCGCACGCUCGCUGAACCCACACCGGGAAAUCUGACCCUCAAGAAUUACUUUACAAAACACCGAGACCAACAUGACCUUGGAUCUUGCUAAAUUGAGUGGAUUAGCCAAGAAUCUGUGAUCUUCCAGCCUCAGCCUUCCAAGUUGCAGGAAUUAAAGACAGGAUCUGGGUACGCCAUUCAGACUGAACUUGGGCUCAACUGAUCUGCCUUCCUCAGACUCUGGAGUAGCUGAAUUCCAGCUCUGUAGCUCUGAUUGUUUUUUGUUUUGUUUUUAGGGGGGAGUGGUAUUUGGAAAGUUUUUGUACUUUGUUCUCACUCUCACUAUGAACUUCAGACUGCUCAACAACCAUUUAGAUGUUUGCAUGGCUCUGUGACAGUACUAGACACUUUAAAAGGGUGACUUUUGGCCCCUGGUGCACACCUGUACUCCCAGUGGCUCCGGAGGCUGAGGCAGGCGGAUCGUAAGUUGGAGGCCAGCCUCAGCCACUGAGUAAGGCCCUCAGCAACUCAGCGAGACCCUGUCUCUAAAUAAAAUAUAAAAAGGACUGGGGUGUGGCUCAGUGGUUAGCACCCCUGAGUUCAAUCCCUGGGACCAAAAAACAAAAACUAAAAACCAUUCACUGAAUUCCUGGUCCCUAGGGACUACAGUAAGGCUCUGGCAACUUACUGGACAGUUCAUUCAGCAUGGAUUGAGAAGCUCUGUGUGCGAGGCCUGCCUGGGGUGCUGGGGACAGCAGUGGUAGCUACAGGUUCCUGCUCUCCUGGACUUUGGAAGUGUGUCCAGAGCUUGCACCAGACCAAAUACAAGGGGGACACGGAAGACCAUGGAAAACCAAGGUUGGACAGGAAAAUGUCCUCGCUCCCAGAGAUGAAGAACCAAGCUUGUGUUCUAGCAGAACGUUGAAGUGCCAGCAUCACGGGCCCUUCACGGUCAUGAGAAGACAGAGCAAAGACUGCUGAACCCACAAAUGACAAGGAUUAACCGUGUUAGCAGAGGGACCUAAGUUCAGGGGAAGGGUAAGAGUCUACAUGACUCUCAUUGGUCUGUUUAUGCCUCCUGCUCACCCCAACCUCUUCCCCAGACACACAGGGAAUUUCUUUCUUUCUUUCUUUCUUUCUUUCUUUUUUUUUUUUUUUUUUUGGUACCAGGGAACUAAGGUGCUGAGGCUAGCCUCCACCUUGCGAUUCUCCUGCCUCAGCCUCCCGUUCACUGGGAUGACAGGCAUACACCAUUGCACUUGGGCUUGACUACUCUUCCUGUAAGUGAAAUCAUGCCGUAUUUUUCCUGUGGUAGGUUUAUUCACUUAGCAUAGUAGCCUCAUGGUGUGAUGGGCUGACAGAUCUGGCUCCAUGAGAAUGUUCUGGGCCAGACUCUAAGGGAAAUGACUAAACAGACUCCAUUUUGCUUCAAGACUCCAUGUU
Sciurus carolinensis (gray squirrel) is the source of this 2070-nucleotide long non-coding RNA. RefSeq lists it as uncharacterized. NCBI's taxonomy places the organism in Eukaryota, Metazoa, Chordata, Mammalia, Rodentia, Sciuridae. The transcript is spliced from 5 exons. The record is from RefSeq and is a predicted model, not a curated record.